AGUGAACGCUGGCGGUAGGCCUAACACAUGCAAGUCGAACGGCAGCACAGUAAGAGCUUGCUCUUACGGGUGGCGAGUGGCGGACGGGUGAGGAAUACAUCGGAAUCUACUUUUUCGUGGGGGAUAACGUAGGGAAACUUACGCUAAUACCGCAUACGACCUACGUGUGAAAGCAGGGGAUCUUCGGACCUUGCGCGAUUGAAUGAGCCGAUGUCGGAUUAGCUAGUUGGCGGGGUAAAGGCCCACCAAGGCGACGAUCCGUAGCUGGUCUGAGAGGAUGAUCAGCCACACUGGAACUGAGACACGGUCCAGACUCCUACGGGAGGCAGCAGUGGGGAAUAUUGGACAAUGGGCGCAAGCCUGAUCCAGCCAUACCGCGUGAGUGAAGAAGGCCUUCGGGUUGUAAAGCCCUUUUGUUGGGAAAGAAAAGAAGCAGGUUAAUACCCCGCUGUUCUGACGGUACCCAAAGAAUAAGCACCGGCUAACUUCGUG
This 492-nucleotide ribosomal RNA is filed under the name uncultured bacterium. Its description in RNAcentral is "partial 16S ribosomal RNA". It matches the Rfam family "Bacterial small subunit ribosomal RNA", at positions 29 to 507 of the family's 1533-position model. The record is from RNAcentral.